CUCAGGGUUUAAGAGACAGAGGCAAUAUUGCCUCAGCUGGCUAAUUGGCAGACCAUUAACAGCUGGGGUAAGAGCCUGUAGGCUAGGAGGAAGGGGGUUGUCUGAGGGAACCUGAGGAGGACUCUUUAACUACACACUGGCCAGAAAGCAGCUAAAUUCUCCAGGGACAAAGCAUUGGGAUGAGGAAUUGUGAAAAAGGGGCUGGAGGCAGAUGAAGGUGGGAAGUGGCCCAAGGAAGCAGCCAGGAGUCUGAGGAAAUACGUCUUAGCUGCUUAAUAGUGAGUCCCUGGGCUGCAAUGCAGAGGGCCUGGGUUGUCCUCUAUCUGCUACCAGGAAAAGGGCCCUCCUGAGGCAAGGACUCCUGAGCCCAGAGUAGGGCUGGAGACCUGGCAUAAGGUUGCUGGACUUUUUUGUUUAUUGGCUUCUCUGCUAUUCUGGGAGACUAUAAGCGACCUCGCUGGAGAGUCACAUUGUGAGAAGGGGCAAACCAAUGCACCCUCGGAGGGGCUGUCAACAGGAGGUGCCAGAGUUGGAGAAGCUGCUGCAGCAUCGCUGGCCAUGUGGAGGUGCACUGGGUGAAUGAAACAAAAAUUAUUUCAAAAUGUUACGCACCAUGUUUCGGCCAACUCUACUUUGAAUAUCGGAGAGGAGCCUAAAUGCUGGGGGUAGACUUGAUCCCGUAUCUUUCUGACGCUAAGGCCCAGUUCUUCUGCAAUGAAGUCGAUUUUGCUGUUAACUACAAUAGGAGCAAGAUUGGACCUUUGGACUGGACAUUUUAUAGAGAACUGUUGUCGGGCACAUGCCCAGAUCAGCACCGGAAAGGAGAUUAAUUCCAUCCAUCAGUGGAGCAGACUAAAUGGCUUUAACCAGCAUAUCCGACUGUGAGUUGUACCUAUUACCGACGUGUACAGAGUGCUUUGCAGAAGCAGCGAUUUCUGCAUUUUCUCCUGCUGUUGAAGUACCAAAAUAAAAUUGCUCCCAGUUCUAAAAAUAAUGAUUUGUACACGGUUUAUCCUGGUGUCUGGGCCUGAGCCAAGCAUUGUUGUUGUUUUAAUAAUUAUUCUGUUCUCUAUCUGC
Molecule: long non-coding RNA, 1077 nt
Organism: Mauremys reevesii (Reeves's turtle)
Lineage: Eukaryota; Metazoa; Chordata; Testudines; Geoemydidae
Exons: 3
Source: RefSeq, a predicted model, not a curated record